This 74-nucleotide transfer RNA is filed under the name Stegodyphus mimosarum. It matches the Rfam family "tRNA". From Rfam's summary of the family: Transfer RNA (tRNA) molecules are approximately 80 nucleotides in length. The record is from Rfam by way of RNAcentral. Lineage: Eukaryota; Metazoa; Arthropoda; Arachnida; Araneae; Eresidae.
GCCCUCGUGGUGUAAUGGCCAAGCACGCUCGGCACGUAUUCCAGAGAUCCGUGGUUCGAGUCCCGGCGAGGGCA